AUCAAAUGGCUGAUUAAAGCAUUAACUUCUUAAGUUAAUUAUAGAUUUAUUUCUUUUGAUGG
Molecule: transfer RNA, 62 nt
Filed under: Tetranychus truncatus
Lineage: Eukaryota; Metazoa; Arthropoda; Arachnida; Trombidiformes; Tetranychidae
Description: tRNA-Lys
Source: RNAcentral